GGCAGGGUAGCUCAGCUGGUUAGAGCGCACGACUCAUAAUCGUGAGGUCGCGGGUUCAAGCCCCGCUCCUGCUA
This is a non-coding RNA of Microbacterium esteraromaticum, 74 nucleotides long. The record is from Rfam. NCBI's taxonomy places the organism in Bacteria, Bacillati, Actinomycetota, Actinomycetes, Micrococcales, Microbacteriaceae.